This 371-nucleotide ribosomal RNA is filed under the name uncultured organism. Its description in RNAcentral is "partial 16S ribosomal RNA". It matches the Rfam family "Bacterial small subunit ribosomal RNA", at positions 527 to 896 of the family's 1533-position model. The record is from RNAcentral.
GUAGGUGGCAAGCGUUAUCCGGAAUUAUUGGGCGUAAAGCGCGCGUAGGCGGUUUUUAAGUCUGAUGUGAAAGCCCACGGCUCAACCGUGGAGGGUCAUUGGAAACUGGAAAACUUGAGUGCAGAAGAGGAAAGUGGAAUUCCAUGUGUAGCGGUGAAAUGCGCAGAGAUAUGGAGGAACACCAGUGGCGAAGGCGACUUUCUGGUCUGUAACUGACGCUGAUGUGCGAAAGCGUGGGGGGAUCAAACAGGAUUAGAUACCCUGGUAGUCCACGCCGUAAACGAUGAGUGCUAAGUGUUAGGGGGUUUCCGCCCCUUAGUGCUGCAGCUAACGCAUUAAGCACUCCGCCUGGGAGUACGACCGCAAGGUUG